Molecule: ribosomal RNA, 502 nt
Filed under: uncultured bacterium
Lineage: Bacteria
Description: bacterial SSU rRNA
Rfam family: Bacterial small subunit ribosomal RNA
Source: RNAcentral
AUUGAACGCUGGCGGCAGGCUUAACACAUGCAAGUCGAGCGGAAACGGAGGUAGCUUGCUACCAGACGUCGAGCGGCGAACGGGUGAGUAACGCGUAGGAAUCUACCUAGUAGAGGGGGAUGGCCCGGGGAAACUCGGAUUAAUACCGCAUACGCCCUAAGGGGGAAAGCAGGGGAUCUUCGGACCUUGCGCUAUUAGAUGAGCCUGCGUCGGAUUAGCUAGUUGGUAGGGUAAAGGCCUACCAAGGCGACGAUCCGUAGCUGGUCUGAGAGGAUGAUCAGCCACACUGGAACUGAGACACGGUCCAGACUCCUACGGGAGGCAGCAGUGGGGAAUAUUGGACAAUGGGGGCAACCCUGAUCCAGCCAUGCCGCGUGUGUGAAGAAGGCCUGCGGGUUGUAAAGCACUUUUGUUCGGGAAGAAAUCAUGUCGGUUAAUACCCGAUGUGGAUGACGGUACCGAAAGAAUAAGCACCGGCUAACUUCGUGCCAGCAGCCGCGGU